GGGUUAGCAUAAGUGGUACCAUAAAAAUUUUUAAUCCAUAGUACGACAAUGCCAACUCAGU
Molecule: microRNA precursor, 61 nt
Filed under: Tribolium castaneum (red flour beetle)
Lineage: Eukaryota; Metazoa; Arthropoda; Insecta; Coleoptera; Tenebrionidae
Description: microRNA tca-mir-3851p precursor
Source: miRBase by way of RNAcentral